AGUGAACGCUGGCGGUAGGCCUAACACAUGCAAGUCGAACGGCAGCACAGUAAGAGCUUGCUCUUACGGGUGGCGAGUGGCGGACGGGUGAGGAAUACAUCGGAAUCUACUUUUUCGUGGGGGAUAACGUAGGGAAACUUACGCUAAUACCGCAUACGACCUACGGGUGAAAGCAGGGGAUCUUCGGACCUUGCGCGAUUGAAUGAGCCGAUGUCGGAUUAGCUAGUUGGCGGGGUAAAGGCCCACCAAGGCGACGAUCCGUAGCUGGUCUGAGAGGAUGAUCAGCCACCCUGGAACGUAGACACGGUCCAGACUCCUACGGGAGGCAGCAGUGGGGAAUAUUGGACAAUGGGCGCAAGCCUGAUCCAGCCAUACCGCGUGGGUGAAGAAGGCCUUCGGGUUGUAAAGCCCUUUUGUUGGGAAAGAAAAGCAGCAGGUUAAUACCCCGCUGUUCUGACGGUACCCAAAGAAUAAGCACCGGCUAACUUCGUG
Molecule: ribosomal RNA, 492 nt
Filed under: uncultured bacterium
Lineage: Bacteria
Description: partial 16S ribosomal RNA
Rfam family: Bacterial small subunit ribosomal RNA
Source: RNAcentral